GGGUUGUGAGGUUAAGCGACUAAGCGUACACGGUGGAUGCCCUGGCAGUCAGAGGCGAUGAAGGACGUGCUAAUCUGCGAUAAGCGUCGGUAAGGUGAUAUGAACCGUUAUAACCGGCGAUUUCCGAAUGGGGAAACCCAGUGUGUUUCGGCACACUAUCAUUAACUGAAUCCAUAGGUUAAUGAGGCGAACCGGGGGAACUGAAACAUCUAAGUACCCCGAGGAAAAGAAAUCAACCGAGAUUCCCCCAGUAGCGGCGAGCGAACGGGGAGGAGCCCAGAGCCUGAAUCAGUGUGUGUGUUAGUGGAAGCGUCUGGAAAGGCGCGCGAUACAGGGUGACAGCCCCGUACACAAAAAUGCACAUAUUGUGAGCUCGAUGAGUAGGGCGGGACACGUGGUAUCCUGUCUGAAUAUGGGGGGACCAUCC
RNAcentral lists this ribosomal RNA (427 nucleotides) under Escherichia coli. RNAcentral describes it as "bacterial LSU rRNA". It matches the Rfam family "Bacterial large subunit ribosomal RNA", at positions 1 to 458 of the family's 2925-position model. The record is from RNAcentral. Lineage: Bacteria; Pseudomonadati; Pseudomonadota; Gammaproteobacteria; Enterobacterales; Enterobacteriaceae.